This 771-nucleotide ribosomal RNA is filed under the name Triticum aestivum (bread wheat). RNAcentral's name for it is "partial small subunit ribosomal RNA". Lineage: Eukaryota; Viridiplantae; Streptophyta; Magnoliopsida; Poales; Poaceae. The record is from RNAcentral.
AUGUCAUGUGAUAAGUGUCACAAAUUGGCUACCAAAGAAACCGACAAGUAUUAUUGCAACAGUUGUGGUAUAUAUCCAGAGAAGGUCGCACCUCGGUACCGUGUUCGACUCCAAAUUAGUGACCAUACAUCUACUACAAGUUGCACUUUAUUUGACGAGGAGGCUGCAAGAUUUCUUAAUACAUCUGCAUCUAAGUUGCUGGACACACUAGAUGGGAAAUCGGAAGAAGCGCCAAAGAUUAUUCAACAAUUAUGUGGAAAAAGACUUAUAUUUCGGUUAAGGCUCAAUGAUAGUAAUCUCACAUUCGGCACACAAAACUAUGCAGUAAAAAGAACAUUUGUGCCUAAUGCUAAGGUUGAGAUGCUCUACUUGGACAAUAAAGCCGAGGAGGAACUGAUGGAUGAUGAAGUUGACACCGUGUUAAUGAAGAAGCAGAACAUGCCGGAUAGAAAGUCAAAGAAUAAUAAAGUUUCACCUGGCGAACUUUCAUGCGAACGGGUGCCUGUGAAAGAGGAGCCAAAUGAUAGCAAUGGGACUACAUUAAACAAAGAUAAGCGUCAAGACAAAGUAUCAUCGUCAUCACGUGUGCUCCGAAGUGGCAAUAAAAGGAGACUUAGAUCUGUUGCAAUAUCAGAUAGCUCAGAGGAUGAAUGCACUGAGACGAAUAUGCCUGAACAAAAGGACAAAAGGCCAAAAAUACAAUGCUUGAAGAUGAAGAUGAAGUAUGGAAAGCAAAGCCCAGGAGAACAAGGAUGUUAUCUAGAUAAUUAG